ACCGUGGUAGUUUAGGUGGAAAAACACCUGGUUUACAUCCAGGAGCCAAAGGUUCAAAUCCUUUGCACGGUA
RNAcentral lists this transfer RNA (72 nucleotides) under Ignavibacteria bacterium. Its description in RNAcentral is "tRNA-Val". It matches the Rfam family "tRNA". From Rfam's summary of the family: Transfer RNA (tRNA) molecules are approximately 80 nucleotides in length. Their secondary structure includes four short double-helical elements and three loops (D, anti-codon, and T loops). The record is from RNAcentral. RNAcentral also lists the same sequence under 1 other name. Lineage: Bacteria; Pseudomonadati; Ignavibacteriota; Ignavibacteria.